UUACCCGGGGAGAACUCUGCGGUGAGAGCCGCGGAGUAGUCAGCCGAAGCCGUAGUAGCGAAGAGGCCGGGGAAAGUCGGGAGGAGCGAAGGGC
Molecule: non-coding RNA, 94 nt
Organism: Chthoniobacter flavus Ellin428
Lineage: Bacteria; Pseudomonadati; Verrucomicrobiota; Spartobacteria; Chthoniobacterales; Chthoniobacteraceae
Source: Rfam